UGGGGAAUAUUGCGCAAUGGGCGAAAGCCUGACGCAGCAACGCCGCGUGAUGGAUGAAGUCCCUCUGGGACGUAAACAUCUUUUAUGAGGGAGAAAGUUUAUUGAUAGUACCUCACGAAUAAGGGGUUGCUAAACUCGUGCCAGCAGCAGCGGUAAUACGAGUGCCCCGAGCGUUAUCCGGAAUCAUUGGGCGUAAAGGGUGUGUAGGUGGCAGUGUUAGUCGAUUGUUAAAACCUGGGGCUCAACCCCAGAUGUGCGAUCGAAACGGCACAGCUAGAGGAUGGCAGGGAUGUAUGGAACUCAUGGAGUAGGGGUGAAAUCCGUUGAUAUCAUGGGGAACACCGAAAGCGAAAGCAGUACAUUGGGCCACUCCUGACACUGAAACACGAAAGCGUGGGUAGCGAAUGGGAUUAGAUACCCGCGUAGUCCCUGAGCGGGCUGGCAAGGCGCAU
Molecule: ribosomal RNA, 452 nt
Filed under: uncultured bacterium
Lineage: Bacteria
Description: bacterial SSU rRNA
Rfam family: Bacterial small subunit ribosomal RNA
Source: RNAcentral